CUUACAUGCAAAUCAAUGAUAUUACAUAGUACAAGCUAUUCCCAAAUGAGGAAAAACUCAACCGGCUAGUAUUAAACUGAAGUACCUAUUAAUCAAAACAAUGCUAGCAGCUCGAUCAUUGUCGAACCAAACUAGCUGAUACACAACGUAUAACACUAUAACGUAUUGGUGUUCAAUCUUCAAUACCUGCAUUUCUUGACGAAAGCUCCAAUGCAAAGUCAUAGUGUCAUCAGCAAUGUAUAGAUCUUCAUCUUUUAUUGUGCAAGAACAACACACGGUCAUCGCGUAAUCUUCCAAACUUCAGCAUAGAAUAAGACUGAAAGGGACUACUUCUUUUUUUCCCUUGUUUAUCCCGACAAGGAUAAUUGUCCAAUGUAUCUACAGGUUUUUACAGGGAAACCUUGCCACAUUUAUAUAUAAGUGCUUUAUUCUGCUAUACAAGUAGUUGUAGAUGAAGUUUCAGGUUCGGAACUUUUCCAGUAAGCCUCCGAAGAAAAAGCUUGUCUUAGCCAGACCACCAGUUUCAGGUGCCUUUGCAGAUGUUGGGUCUUUCUUCACGUUAAGCAUCAUUGUCUGUCCAAUUUCUUCACGCAGUCUUUCAAUCGUCUUCAUCUCUACAGGGUUUCCAGACGCAUCUCUUACGUAGAAGAAAUUCUUUGCUUUCUCCCCAAUAGUUGUAACACCAGCUCUAGUCACUGAUAGCCCAUUUUCUCGUAGGACUCUCGUAACUUCAGAAAGUAAGCCAACUCGGUCCUUGGCACACAACUCAAAGCUGAAGCCCUCACUUAUCCUUCGCCGAAUAGCAGCUUCAAUACACUUCACAACCUUCUCCUUCUCCGCUUCAGAUUCCAGAGUGCAACCAUCCAUGUGGCGAAUAAAAUAUUCCUGUGAUGCAGAGGGACCAUCUGAUGAGAUAGUGGCAUGGAAAACAGCAUACUGCAUGUCUGUGAGGGUGCAUACAAUGUCAAACAUAAGCUUUGCUCUAUCCUUGCAACUUACACUGACCACUGAGUACCCUUUCUCGACACAGCUUUCAAUUCUGACGUCUGGUUUGGAGUUAGGAGGGUAUUCUAUCUCCAUUUCGAGACAACCACCUUCGUAGUCCCUAUCAGCAAAAAACAUCUGAUGAAGCCUCCGAUCAACAUGAGUACUACCAACUGAGAAAGUAGCAUGAGCCCCACUCUCAUCAUCCUCACGCCCACGAAGAAUGUUAUUGAGUUGCUCUUCCAUGACACACAAUCUGGAUUCUUCAUCCUCAUCAAGGGAUGAACAAUUAUCAUUGAUAUAAAGGACACAUGCUAUGCGCCCAUUAUGAGUCCAAACCUCGGCAGCAGCGACAUUAAAAUGAAGAUUGGCUAGAACAGCAGAAAUUUCUGAUAGAAGGCCUGGACGAUCCCUGCCUAUUAGCUCAAUGGUGGUAUAAUCACCCAUAGAGUUCUCUCCUACCUUUCUACCUGGACAUGUCUUCAAUAUGCCUGAUGUGUAACCUUCAGGUCCUAGAGCCUUUUCUAUAUGACCAAUAGUAUUGUUGUCUGUAACCUUGUUUCCAUGUUGAUCAGUAACAUGAAAUACAUCCAUGAACCACCCACCAUCAGAGGAUAUGUAGGCUUUGGUAAUUACAAGAUCGAGGUCUGAUAGGAUUUGCACCACUUCCAGCAGUAUUCCAGGUUUGUUGAUACUGUCAACCUUCACUAGAGUACAAUCCCUGCAAGUCGCAUUGUCCACAGAUACCCUUGGAGGAUUUAUUCUGAUACUUAAGGUCUCGUAUUCAGGAUCAAAGUAAGGCCCAUAACUCCUUGCCAUAUGAACAACACUCCUGUAGUCAACAAAGAUACUUCCCGUUUUUCCUUUACAUCGAAAGUAGCCAAUUUUUCUCUAUAGCAGCUGACUGGCCUGGUCAUCCAUCAUGACAAUGAUAACAAAUCAAACCAGCAUUUUACCAACACUGAGAAGAAAUCAGUGUAAACAGAGGGAAAAUUAAGUAGGAAUCCAGUUGUUCAUACAUUCAGGAAGAAGAAGAGAGAAUGUUUUGGAUUAAAUAGAAGGAGAAAAAGGGAAAAGCGGAAAAACUUUCGACGUAGGAGUAGCACUUGUGCUCCGCCUCCUCCUCCUCAGCUACCACUUUC
RNAcentral lists this unclassified non-coding RNA (2126 nucleotides) under Hevea brasiliensis (rubber tree). Lineage: Eukaryota; Viridiplantae; Streptophyta; Magnoliopsida; Malpighiales; Euphorbiaceae. The record is from RNAcentral.